CUGCGGGGCAUUUGGAAACAAGGCAUCAAGCACCAGAUGCCCCAUAAAACACUGGGGUGCCACCCUCCUCCCCUUGGCCUGGGCUCCAAGGGGCUGAAGGAGAACGUGGAGCAAUGGAGUCAGCAGGACCAGCGGCACCAGGCUGAGCCGUUGAACCAGGCUGAGAGGGAGAAGGUAGAGAGACAAAGGCAAGAAGCAGAGCAGAGGAAGGCCCUGCUCCACAGGUUCUCCAGGAGACCCCGAGAGGGGCAGAAGGGCACCUGGAAGGAAGGCAUAGAAUCUUGGGAUUAUGUGAGGUGGGCUGGUUCAUGUGUGAAGGUCCUUGGUGGUCACUCCUGAAAUACAUACCAUCCUCAGAGAAGAACAGACCACUGUCUUUCGUGACACAUCAUCCCACACUGGCCAUCCCCACUCAGGAGCUGCCACUGUGAUUCUCCAGCAGCAGGACUCCUA
RNAcentral lists this long non-coding RNA (453 nucleotides) under Canis lupus familiaris (dog). Its description in RNAcentral is "lncRNA (ENSCAFG00845012072.1)". Lineage: Eukaryota; Metazoa; Chordata; Mammalia; Carnivora; Canidae. The record is from RNAcentral.